RNAcentral lists this ribosomal RNA (530 nucleotides) under uncultured soil bacterium. RNAcentral describes it as "bacterial SSU rRNA". It matches the Rfam family "Bacterial small subunit ribosomal RNA", at positions 1 to 559 of the family's 1533-position model. The record is from RNAcentral.
GAAUUCGGCUUAGAGUUUGAUCAUGGCUCAGAAUCAACGCUGGCGGCGCGCCUAACACAUGCAAGUCGAACGAGAAAGUGGAGCAAUCCAUGAGUACAGUGGCGUACGGGUGAGUAACACGUGGAUAAUCUACCUUUUAGUGGGGAAUAACCGAGGGAAACCUUGGCUAAUACCGCAUAAUCCCGAGAGGGGAAACGCGAAAGCGGCUGAAAGAGGAGUCCGCGGCCGAUUAGCUAGUUGGCAGGGUAAAAGCCUACCAAGGCAAAGAUCGGUAGCCGGCCUGAGAGGGCACACGGCCACACUGGCACUGAAACACGGGCCAGACUCCUACGGGAGGCAGCAGUGGGGAAUCUUGCACAAUGGGGGAAACCCUGAUGCAGCGACGCCGCGUGAGCGAUGAAGCCCUUCGGGGUGUAAAGCUCUUUCGGCAGGGAAGAUUAUGACGGUACCUGCAGAAGCAGCUGCGGCUAACUACGUGCCAGCAGCCGCGGUAAUACGUAGGCAGCAAGCGUUGUUCGGAGUUACUGGGC